This 1422-nucleotide long non-coding RNA is filed under the name Canis lupus familiaris (dog). RNAcentral describes it as "lncRNA (ENSCAFG00845011146.1)". The record is from RNAcentral. Lineage: Eukaryota; Metazoa; Chordata; Mammalia; Carnivora; Canidae.
GGGUGGAGCAGGAGGCGGGGCUCGGGAGUGGGGGUCCCAGCUGAGCCCGGGGUCUCGCGGCUGGAGCCGCCCGGGGUGGAGCCCGGGGCGGAGCCGGAGAGGCCGGGCCGCGUCUGCAAGGGUCGAGACUGGGGAGGGUGGGAGAGACGUGAGCCCCGAGCUGCGGGCGGGGGCAGGGCGGGGGCAGGGCGGGGGCGGGUCCGAGCCCCGCGGGCCCACCCCCUCGGGGCUCCCGAGCUGGGGGUCCCGGCGAGGCCGCGGCGGAGGGGGCGGGGCUGGCGGCCCGGAGCCUCCCCGGGGACCCCGGGCCCGCCCGAGCGCCGCGGCGGGGCGCCUCCCGCGAGGAGGCCCCGCUCCGGGCUCAGGCCCCGGCCCCGGCCCCGGCCCCGGCCCCGGCCCCCGCAGGCCGACCAGAAAAAACCCCGUCUGUGCUUCCCGGAGAGGAGACCGGAGCGGCGGCUGCGUCCCGGGCGACGUGCCCGGGCCCCGACGUCCGAGUCCCCCGGCCCCGUCCCCUGCACACGCCCCCCCGCCGCCGGCGACCCGGGCGCGGCCCCUAGCGGAGCGUCCCGGGGCAGGGGCAGCGGGCUGGGCUCGGCGGCGCGGCGGCGCGGCGGCUCGGCCCGGGCGGGGGCGGCGCGGGGGGCGGGGGCGAGGCCCGGGAGCGCGCGGGGAGGGAAGCGGCGCCCGGCCGCGGGGGCAGGGGGAGCGGCAGACGCCGAGGCGAGGGACGCGCGCGGCGGGCGGCGGCUCCGAGCGGCGGCCGGGCGGGGGGCGCUGGAGGCCGGGCCGGCCGGAGGGCAUCCCGAGAGCCCCAUGAGGUGCCCCCGGGGCCGCGGACGGGGCGCUGUCCUGGGGAGGCUGUCGGGGGGUCCCCGACACCCAUGGCUGGGCGGGGGCCGCGGCGGCGCGCUCGGAGUAAGUCGGGGUCGGGGCGGGCGCGGGCGCGGGCGCGGGCGCGGGGGCGGGGGCGGGCGCGGGGGCGGCGUUGGGUUCGGGGCGGCUCCGGGCCUGGCCGGGCCCCGGGCGCGCUGCUCCGUCUCGGUGUCGGUCGGCGGCGCCUCCUCGGAGCCCGGUGGAGCCGCCAGCCCCGUGCCGCUCGGCUCCGUGGCUUUUUUGGAAACUUGCAAAUGUUUUCGUAGAGAGAGAGAGAGAGAGAAGGGGGAGGGGAGGGAGGGAGGGAGCGAGGGAGUGACCGACACGGAGCUCGGGGCUGCUGCAAGAACGGAGGCCAAGGCUGGGGGAGCUGGAGACGGACGGACAGGCCGACAGGCAGAGCGUCCCGGCCGCGGGCGUGCUCCGGCGGCGCGGGCGGGGGCGGGGGCGCGGGCGGGGGCGCGGGCGCGGGCGGGGCCCCGGCCCGGGAUGCGGAGAGGGCUCGGGAGGCAGCCGCAGGCACGAUGGGGAUCCGAGGGGGGCUAA